GAUCCUGGCUCAGGAUGAACGCUAGCUACAGGCUUAACACAUGCAAGUCGAGGGGGAACGACAUCGAAAGCUUGCUUUUGAUGGGCGUCGACCGGCGCACGGGUGAGUAACGCGUAUCCAACCUGCCCAUCACUUGGGGAUAACCUUGCGAAAGUAAGACUAAUACCCAAUGAUAUCUCUAGAAGACAUCUGAAAGAGAUUAAAAGAUUCAUCGGUGAUGGAUGGGGAUGCGU
This 233-nucleotide ribosomal RNA is filed under the name uncultured bacterium. Its description in RNAcentral is "partial 16S ribosomal RNA". It matches the Rfam family "Bacterial small subunit ribosomal RNA", at positions 15 to 236 of the family's 1533-position model. The record is from RNAcentral.